RNAcentral lists this ribosomal RNA (374 nucleotides) under Salmonella enterica subsp. enterica. RNAcentral's name for it is "bacterial SSU rRNA". It matches the Rfam family "Bacterial small subunit ribosomal RNA", at positions 384 to 750 of the family's 1533-position model. Lineage: Bacteria; Pseudomonadati; Pseudomonadota; Gammaproteobacteria; Enterobacterales; Enterobacteriaceae. The record is from RNAcentral.
UGAUGCAGCCAUGCCGCGUGUAUGAAGAAGGCCUUCGGGUUGUAAAGUACUUUCAGCGGGGAGGAAGGUGUUGCGGUUAAUAACCGCAGCAAUUGACGUUACCCGCAGAAGAAGCACCGGCUAACUCCGUGCCAGCAGCCGCGGUAAUACGGAGGGUGCAAGCGUUAAUCGGAAUUACUGGGCGUAAAGCGCACGCAGGCGGUCUGUCAAGUCGGAUGUGAAAUCCCCGGGCUCAACCUGGGAACUGCAUUCGAAACUGGCAGGCUUGAGUCUUGUAGAGGGGGGUAGAAUUCCAGGUGUAGCGGUGAAAUGCGUAGAGAUCUGGAGGAAUACCGGUGGCGAAGGCGGCCCCCUGGACAAAGACUGACGCUCAG